RNAcentral lists this ribosomal RNA (312 nucleotides) under Exorista sorbillans. RNAcentral describes it as "partial 12S rRNA". The record is from RNAcentral. Lineage: Eukaryota; Metazoa; Arthropoda; Insecta; Diptera; Tachinidae.
UAAGGUAGUAGUAGUUAUGAUCUUGAAACUUAAAAAAUUUGGCGGUAUUUUAGUCUAUUCAGAGGAACCUGUUUUAUAAUCGAUAAUCCACGAUGGACCUUACUUGAGUUUGUUAUCAGUUUAUAUACCGUCGUUAUUAGAAUAUUUUAUAAGAAUUUUUAAUUUUUAUAAUUUUUAAAGAGAAAAUAUAUCAGAUCAAGGUGUAGCUUAUAUUUAAGUAAAAAUGGGUUACAAUAAAAUUAUUUAAAUGAAUAUAAAUUUGAAAUUUUUAUUGAAGGUGGAUUUGAUAGUAAAAUUAUAUAGAUUAAUAAU